RNAcentral lists this ribosomal RNA (393 nucleotides) under uncultured bacterium. Its description in RNAcentral is "partial 16S ribosomal RNA". It matches the Rfam family "Bacterial small subunit ribosomal RNA", at positions 523 to 918 of the family's 1533-position model. The record is from RNAcentral.
AUACGUAGGGGGCGAGCGUUGUCCGGAAUGAUUGGGCGUAAAGGGCGCGUAGGCGGCUUUGCAAGUCAGUAGUGGAAGUCCAUUUUUCAAGGAUGGAAGUGCUACAGAAACUGCGGAGCUUGAGUGCAGGAGAGGUUAUCGGAAUUCCCGGUGUAGCGGUGAAAUGCGUAGAGAUCGGGAGGAACACCAGUGGCGAAGGCGGGUACCUGGACUGGAACUGACGCUCAUGCACGAAAGCGUGUGUAGAAAACAGGAUUAGAUACCCUGGUAGGCCACGCCGUAAACGAUGAGUGCUAGGUGUUGGGGGUCAAACCGCGGUGCCGCAGCUAACGCAUUAAGCACUCCGCCUGGGGAGGACGUACGCAAGUAUGAAGCUCAAAUGAAUUGACGGGG